ACGGGUGAGUAUCGCGUAUGCAAUCUACCUCUAACUGGAGGAUAGCCCGAAGAAAUCGGGAUUAAUACUCCAUAAAGUCAUAAUUUCGCAUGUUAUUAUGAUUAAAGCUCCGGCGGUUAGAGAUGAGCAUGCGUGUCAUUAGCUUGUUGGUGAGGUAACAGCUCACCAAUGCAACGAUGACUAGGGGUUCUGAGAGGAUGAUCCCCCACACUGGUACUGAGACACGGACCAGACUCCUACGGGAGGCAGCAGUGAGGAAUAUUGGGCAAUGGGCGAAAGCCUGACCCAGCCAUGCCGCGUGCAGGAUGACUGCCCUAUGGGUUGUAAACUGCUUUUAUACGGGAAGAAUGGUUCCUACGUGUAGGGAUUUGACGGUACCGUAAGAAUAAGCAUCGGCUAACUCCGUGCCAGCAGCCGCGGUAAUACGGAGGAUGCAAGCGUUAUCCGGAUUCAUUGGGUUUAAAGGGUGCGCAGGCGGAAUAUUAAGUCAGUGGUGAAAUCCUGCAGCUUAACUGUAGAACUGCCAUUGGUACUGAUAUUCUUGAAUGUAGUUGAGGUGGGCGGAAUGUGUAAUGUAGCGGUGAAAUGCUUAGAUAUUACACAGAACACCGAUUGCGAAGGCAGCUCACUAAACUAACAUUGACGCUGAGGCACGAAAGCGUGGGGAGCGAACAGGAUUAGAUACCCUGGUAGUCCACGCUGUAAACUAUGAUCACUCGCUGUUGGCAAUAC
RNAcentral lists this ribosomal RNA (732 nucleotides) under uncultured organism. RNAcentral describes it as "bacterial SSU rRNA". It matches the Rfam family "Bacterial small subunit ribosomal RNA", at positions 102 to 832 of the family's 1533-position model. The record is from RNAcentral.